RNAcentral lists this ribosomal RNA (1461 nucleotides) under uncultured organism. Its description in RNAcentral is "bacterial SSU rRNA". It matches the Rfam family "Bacterial small subunit ribosomal RNA". The record is from RNAcentral.
CGGCGUGGUUUAGGCAUGCAAGUCGAACGCGAAAGUCUCUUCGGAGACGAGUAGAGUGGCGAAAGGGUGAGUAAUACAUGGACGACGUACCCUCGACCCUGGGAUAGCCCAUCGAAAGGUGGGGUAAUCCCGGAUAAUGUCCCUGGUUCAAUUCCGGGAGACCAAAGGCAGGGAUCCUUCGGGACCUGUCAGUUGAGGAGCGGUUCAUGUCUUAUCAGCUUGUUGGUGAGGUAACGGCUCACCAAGGCGAUGACGAGUACGGGGCCUGAGAGGGUGUUCCCGCACACUGGGACUGAGACACUGCCCAGACUCCUACGGGGGGCUGCAGUCGAGAAUCUUCCCCAAUGGGCGAAAGCCUGAGGGAGCGACGCCGCGUGGAGGAUGAAGGCCUUCGGGUUGUAAACUCCUUUCAGUUAGCAGGAAUAAGUGUAAGUCAAUAGCUUGCACGAUGACCCGCUUUCAGAAGAAGCACCGGCUAAACACGUGCCAGCAGCCGCGGUAAUACGUGUGGUGCUAGCGUUGUUCGGAAUCACUGGGCAUAAAGGGCACGCAGGCGGAAUGUCGUGUCCGGGGUGAAAUCCACCGGCUUAACCGGUGAACUGCCUCGGAAACUGGCAUUCUAGAGUGGAAAAGGGGAGAGUGGAACUCUAGGUGGAGCGGUGGAAUGUGUAGAUAUCUAGAGGAACGCCGGUGGCGAAAGCGACUCUCUGGUUUCCAACUGACGCUCAGGUGCGAAAGCGUGGGGAGCAAACAGGAUUAGAUACCCUGGUAGUCCACGCCGUAAACGAUGGGUACUAGGUAGAAGGGGUUCCUAAGCCUUUUCUGCUGGAGCUAAUGUAUUAAGUACCCCGCCUGGGGAGUACGGCCGCAAGGCUAAAACUCAAAGGAAUUGACGGGGGCUCACACAAGCGGUGGAGCAUGUGGCUUAAUUCGAAGCAACGCGAAGAACCUUACCUGGGUUUGACAUGCUUGAAGUAGGCGCCCGAAAGGGUUGCCCACCCGUUAAGUCGGGAGCUUGCACAGGUGUUGCAUGGCUGUCGUCAGCUCGUGUCGUGAGAUGUUGGGUUAAGUCCCGUAACGAGCGAAACCCUUGUCCUUAGUUACCAGCGGUUCGGCCGGGAACUCUAAGGAGACUGCCGGUGUUAAACCGGAGGAAGGUGGGGAUGACGUCAAGUCAUCGUGGCCCUUACGCCCAGGGCUGCACACGUGCUACAAUGGUCGAUACAAACCGAAGCGAAGUCGUGAGGCCAAGCAAAUCGGAAAAAGUCGGCCCCAGUUCGGAUUGAAGGCUGCAAUUCGCCUUCAUGAAGCCGGAAUCGCUAGUAAUCGCAGAUCAGCCAUGCUGCGGUGAAUGUGUUCCUGAGCAUUGUACACACCGCCCGUCAAGCCACGAAAGUUGGCAGCAUCCGAAGUCGGUAUCCCAACCAAUACUCUUGGGGGGAGCCGCCGAAGAUGAGGCCG